Molecule: ribosomal RNA, 231 nt
Filed under: uncultured bacterium
Lineage: Bacteria
Description: partial 16S ribosomal RNA
Rfam family: Bacterial small subunit ribosomal RNA
Source: RNAcentral
CGGGUGAGUAACACGUAUCCAACCUGCCGUCUACUCUUGGACAGCCUUCUGAAAGGAAGAUUAAUACAAGAUGGCAUCAUGAGUUCACAUGUUCACAUGAUUAAAGGUAUUCCGGUAGACGAUGGGGAUGCGUUCCAUUAGAUAGUAGGCGGGGUAACGGCCCACCUAGUCUUCGAUGGAUAGGGGUUCUGAGAGGAAGGUCCCCCACAUUGGAACUGAGACACGGCCCAG